This 65-nucleotide transfer RNA is filed under the name Dipodomys ordii (Ord's kangaroo rat). It matches the Rfam family "tRNA". From Rfam's summary of the family: Transfer RNA (tRNA) molecules are approximately 80 nucleotides in length. Lineage: Eukaryota; Metazoa; Chordata; Mammalia; Rodentia; Heteromyidae. The record is from Rfam by way of RNAcentral.
GGUGGCUCAGUGGUAGAGCUCUUGCCUUGCAUGCAUGAGUCCAUGGGUUCGAUUCCUUAGCACCA